Long non-coding RNA from Mya arenaria, 219 nucleotides. RefSeq lists it as uncharacterized. NCBI's taxonomy places the organism in Eukaryota, Metazoa, Mollusca, Bivalvia, Myida, Myidae. The record is from RefSeq and is a predicted model, not a curated record. The transcript has 3 exons.
GCAAUAUAGAAUGCAGUGUGAUGACUCUAAAGUUACAUGUAGUGAAAACAUUACAGUUGAAGGUGCAGUAUCAUGUUCCUUAGAUGCAACCGUCCACUACAGCUGGGACUUUGCACAGCAGGUUCAUAUUCCACACCAUAGCCAACAGGUUGGACCCCUGUAUUUCAAAACUGCCAGGAGAUGUGAGGUAUUUGGAGUUUGCUGUGAAGGAUCUGGUAA